CCGUUGGAUCCUUGAGAUUUUAGUGGCGCAGCUAACGCAUUAAGUUGACCGCCUGGGGAGUACGGCCGCAAGGUUAAAACUCAAAUGAAUUGACGGGGGCCCGCACAAGCGGUGGAGCAUGUGGUUUAAUUCGAAGCAACGCGAAGAACCUUACCAGGCCUUGACAUCCAAUGAACUUUCCAGAGAUGGAUUGGUGCCUUCGGGAANAUUGAGACAGGUGCUGCAUGGCUGUCGUCAGC
This 239-nucleotide ribosomal RNA is filed under the name Pseudomonas sp. Its description in RNAcentral is "partial 16S ribosomal RNA". It matches the Rfam family "Bacterial small subunit ribosomal RNA", at positions 820 to 1059 of the family's 1533-position model. Lineage: Bacteria; Pseudomonadati; Pseudomonadota; Gammaproteobacteria; Pseudomonadales; Pseudomonadaceae. The record is from RNAcentral.